CGAAUCGCCUUUACUUACAACCGCUCUUUCUUAUCAAACAGCUGCGGUCGUUCAUGAAAGUCUAGUUUUCACCAUGAAUGCAAAGAUUGCUGUGGUGCUGUCGGUGAUCGCGUGUGUGAUUAAUAUUAUCGGUCUGGCGAUUCCGUACUGGCGUACAUGUUCGAUGAAAUUGAAAGAGUUCGAUUUUUCAGUCGGCUCCAAUUAUGGCCUUUGGAUAUUCUGCGGAUAUGUUGACGCGCCGAAUAGAAGUUUUCGCACAUGUUCUGCCUAUGAUCACCCGGAGAUAACGUCUUCAACUAAUGGCAUUCUUCAAGCAAGAUAUAUUGAGCUCGUGGCCUCAAUAUUGGUUGUCUGCUCCACGAUAAUGGGACUCGUCCAGACGGUCUCGCAUACCCCUAAAGUCCUGUACACGAAACCAUCAGGAGUCAUGUGUAUCAUAGCAGGUAUACUGGAUUAUGAAAGACUGAUAAACAUAAAAUUGACAACUCAUCUCCCCAACGAUACUUUGUGUGGCUCAUUCUCAGAACAAACCCAUAGUCAGUGAGAAAACUACAGUGUAAAAAGACCACUUGAUUGUGACAAUUAUGGCUGACCAUAAAAAUGAAUUGGAUACUGUUUUAAGCUUCACUCUACUUUGUCUGAAAAUAAAAGUCCUAAAUGAUGUAAUAGAAAAUACAUAUUUAAUUUUUAGUUUUACAAUGGUAUAUAUAUACAUACAUAUAUUAUAAUAUCUUUUUAUCAAUGGUCAAUCAAUUUAAGUUUAACUAAUAUAUACAUACACAUUUUAUACAUGUGUAUGCUUUGAUUUUUUUCUAUUGAAGCCAAAUUAAUAUCCCAUUAGAUAGAUAUAUAAUAUCACAGCAGUAUUCCUAUUUUGUCUGCAAGUACUGCAGAAAUCAUGGAUUAUUAUUUUACUGAGUCAGCCUUAUUCUUUAUAUUAUAAUUGUUAAAACAGAUUAAGAUGUGCAUUAUACAAUUGAGGAUGCAUCAAGAUUAAAAAAUGGUACAUGUAUAAAUUAAUAAAGAAUCAAUAACAAUCAGAAACUGUGCAUUUUUUUUCAGUAUUGUGUGAAAGGAUUUGAAGUAAUGAUGUGUUUUUGAAAUAUGAUUUAUGUGAAUUUGAAUAAAUAUAUAAAAUUUA
Dreissena polymorpha is the source of this 1141-nucleotide RNA transcript. RefSeq lists it as uncharacterized. NCBI's taxonomy places the organism in Eukaryota, Metazoa, Mollusca, Bivalvia, Myida, Dreissenidae. The transcript is spliced from 3 exons. The record is from RefSeq and is a predicted model, not a curated record.